GCCUUGAGGGGAGGCGAGGAACCCCCGAUCUCCCAGAUGGGCGCCAAGGAGCGGGGGGGAGCCAGUGGCGCAACCGGCCCCUAAUCCU
Molecule: non-coding RNA, 88 nt
Filed under: Thermus scotoductus
Lineage: Bacteria; Thermotogati; Deinococcota; Deinococci; Thermales; Thermaceae
Description: c-di-GMP sequence
Rfam family: c-di-GMP-II-GAG riboswitch aptamer
Source: RNAcentral